RNAcentral lists this ribosomal RNA (1280 nucleotides) under Ochthebius hasegawai. Its description in RNAcentral is "16S ribosomal RNA". The stretch from base 1039 to 1197 matches the Rfam family "Archaeal large subunit ribosomal RNA", at positions 2542 to 2701 of the family's 2987-position model. The record is from RNAcentral. Lineage: Eukaryota; Metazoa; Arthropoda; Insecta; Coleoptera; Hydraenidae.
AUUUAAAAAUUUAUUUUAAAUAUUUUUAAAUAAAGUAUUUUUUAGUUUUAUUAUUAAUAAAGAAAAAAUUUAAUUAAUUAUAGUUUAUAGUAUAGUGAUAGAAAAUUUAAAUAUUUUGAAAAUAUAAAUAUUAAAAAGAAUAAUUAAUUUUUAGUACCUUGUGUAUCAGGGUUUAUUAAAAAUAUUUUUUAUAAUAAAAUUUCUCGAUUUUAAAAGAGUUAAGAAUUUAUAUUUUUUAAUGUUAAAUAAUUAUUAUAAAUAAGUUUUUAGUAAUGAAAUGUUAUUCGUUUUUAAAUAUAUCUAGUUUUUUAAGAAAUAAAUUUAAUUUAUUUACUAAUAAAAAUUAUUAUUAUUAAUAAUUAUAAUUUUGUUAGUAAGAAAUAUUUAAAGGGAUAAGCUUUUAAAUAAAUUUAUAUAAUAUUCAAUACUAUAAAAAUUAAGUGUAGAAUUAAAAAUUUUUAUCAUUAAUAAUUUGUUAUAAUUAAUUUUUUUAUAUUAUUAUUUAUAUUUUAUUUAUAUUUUUUAUUAAUAAUAUUUAUUUAAUUUUAAAAUAAAUUUAAUAAUGAUAAAAUUAGUAUAAUUUAUUUUAAAAAUAAUUUAUUUUUAAAAGGUUAAAUUAAGGAAUUCGGCAAAUAUAUUUUUCGCCUGUUUAAUAAAAACAUGUCUUUUUGAUAAUAAUUUAAAGUCUAACCUGCCCAAUGAAAUUUAAAUGGCCGCGGUAUUUUGACCGUGCAAAGGUAGCAUAAUCAUUAGUUUUUUAAUUGAAAGCUUGUAUGAAUGGUUGGACGAGAAAAUUUCUGUCUCAAUUUAAUUUAAUUAGAAUUUUAUUUUUAAGUUAAAAAGCUUAAAUUUAUUUAAAAGACGAGAAGACCCUAUAGAGUUUUAUAUAUAUAUAAAUAUUUUUUAUAUAAUUAAUCAUAUUUAUUUAUAUAUUUUAUUGGGGUGAUAAAUAAAUUUAAUUAACUUUAUUUUUUUUAUUACAUUAAUUUAUGAAUUUAUGAUCCAUUAUUUAUGAUUAUAAGAUUAAAUUACCUUAGGGAUAACAGCGUUAUCUUUUUUAAGAGUUCAAAUCGAAAAAAAGGAUUGCGACCUCGAUGUUGGAUUAAAAUUAAUUUUUGGUGUAGAUGCUAAAAAAUUGAGUCUGUUCGACUUUUAAAAUUUUACAUGAUCUGAGUUUAAACCGGUGUGAGCCAGGUUGGUUUCUAUCUUUAAUAAAAUUAUAUAUUUUAGUACGAAAGGACCAAAUAUAUAUAAAAAUUAUUUAUUUAAUGAAUAUUAUU